This 652-nucleotide unclassified non-coding RNA is filed under the name Enterococcus faecalis V583. Its description in RNAcentral is "Ref30D1". The record is from RNAcentral. Lineage: Bacteria; Bacillati; Bacillota; Bacilli; Lactobacillales; Enterococcaceae.
AAAAAACGUACUCACUUUUUUUCUUAGACUUCUUUUUUUGAUUUUCCUCUUUUAGGUCUUGUCCUUUUUGUCUUCAAAAUAUUUAAAUAAAUCCCUUUCAAAAGUAUUUAUAGGUUUUGGACAAUAAGGAAUAUCUUUUUUCUUCAUAUAAACACCUCAUUAAACUAUUUUAUAUCAUCACAUUAUCAAAUUAACAAAUGUAUUAAAAGAAAGUUUUUUAUUAAAACUUUCUUGGCCUUUUGGGAGAUUUCAGUGCGAUUUCUUUUUAUUCCAAUACUUUUUUGUUGGUCACUUUCGUAUACCCAUUCUAAGCGAUAAUCGGCGACAAUGUUUUUACAACGAAUGGUAGGACAAAACAAUGGGAGAAAAAACUUUUUCUACAGCAAUCCCUUGUUUUCACCUACCACAUGUUGUGAACCCAAAGCACGCCGACGAACGCUUAGUUAUACGAAAAUGACCUACCAAAAACAAAAAAAGUGAGGUGAAUAGAAACAAAAAGAAAUUGAAAUCUCCCAAAAGGUCGUCCACCUCGGGGGCAACUUUCUGCCGAAAAUAGUAGUUGGGCCUAUGAACAAACUAACGUUACUUUUUGGUAAAUUAUUAAAUUAACCGAAAAAACAGCAUGGUUUCUCCCCAUCAAAAAGCAAACUGU